AGUGUUUUUUUUUGCUGAAUCAGGUAGUUCAUAAAUCAUUACGAUUAUUUAUUAUUAUUAAAUAUAUGAUGUCUUUAGAGAAAAUAAUAAAAGUUUUGUACAAACAUUAAAAAUGCUAGCACUGUUAAUCGCAACUUAAACUCAAUUAACUUCUCAUAAACAACCAGUAUCUAUUCAAGUGCCCUUUACCUUCCAGUGUCAGUGGUGACCGCCGUCGACGGGGCGACACUCCUUAUGCUGAACGGCUACUCUUUCUCCAAUCCCGCACCCAUGACAGGUGGCGAGCGGUGGUACUGCUCAGGCAGGUUCAAAUGGAAAUGCAAUGUCUGCCUUCAUGUCAACGAUGACUACGAAUUCGUCUGCAUAUCAAACGUACACACGCACAAACCACCAGUAUACGAAAAGACCCCAGAUGGACUUUACGUGGAAACUGGUCUUUAAUCUUAAGGAAUAAAGUUUAAUAUCGUUUGACUCGGUUUUUAAGGACUGCAAUUAUGCUCAGAGGGCGUACUACCUUUUAGAAUAUUAUUUAUUGCAGUUGUGGCAAAGAGCUGCUCUACAACGCACAACUGCAAAAAUAUAAAUUUAUGAAGUGUUGGUUGGCCGAAAUCAAAUUAAGCUUUUGUAUUCGAAUGUGAUCUCUUAUUUGUAUGACAGAUUGUGAAUGUACUAAACAUGUAAAAUAUUUUUAGUAUUAUUUUUACAUUAUAAAACUAAAGUGUUCAGGGUAUUUAUUAAAUUAAUAGGUUAGUUUAUUAUUGAUGUGGCGAAACUAUUUUUGUGUCUUAUAAACUUUUAGAAUUAGAUAUUUGGUAAAAAUAUUCGUGUACUCCAUUAUGCAUAUUUGGUAGUUGUAAUAACGGAGAUAACGAAAAACCGGGAAAAUGACAACACCAGCCACAAUUAUUUUUUCUUGAAAAUAAAAACUUUUGUGAUUGGUAACAUUUAUUACACUGUCAUGUGUGUUUAAACGACUUUCACUUUAGGGUCAUUUGAUCAAUGACUUUAUUUUACGAAUGUAUUGUACCUGACUUAAAUAUUUACUGGAUUUUCAGAAAAAUGACGGUGCCCAUUAAAGUAUUACGCUGACUCAAACUAUUUAUUGUUAUGUUGACUUUUUUAUCGUUUGCUUGUACACUGACGCUUUUUAAGUCCUCUAUCUAAUUACCUAAGUACUUACAUAAGUUUACUGGGUAAAUUUCAAGAAAAUGGCUGUCUGCAAUUUAGAAAUAAAAAAUAAUAUUUUUAGUAAUUUGUGGUAGUGUGUUUUUUAUUAACAAAAGUUUUAUAUUGCUCACAGAGAAAAAAGUGAAACUGAAGCACUCGCUCAUAAGACUUGUGGGCAAAGUUGAUACCCGCCCUUGUGUAAACUGCGUCAAGAUGUGGGUUGUGGCGUAUAGGCGAGGAGUCGCCCUUAACUUGCCCAGGAAAGUAUUAACCUACUGCGGAAAAUGCCCCGACAAACCCUACUAUUGUUACAAUUGUUUCUUCAAGAUGCAUGUACUGAACUAAAUGUAUUCUUCAAAAGAUUAUCGGUGUGAUAAAUGUCUAUUUCUGUAUAUCUAUAUGUGAGUACCGAAAAAUGAAAAUUUAUAUAUUUGAUGUUAUAAAACCUUAGAAAUUAAGACCAAAUUGUAGUCUCCAUAAGACAUUCCAAAGAUUUGUAAUUCUUGAGAAUCUGUAUCAUACCUUCAGCACUAGUAUUUAUUCGAAGGAAUCCGGAUUUACAGAUAUUUUGUAUUAGAAAGUCCCAAUUAAUGGACUUUGUCUAAUAUUAAGCAAGACUAAGUUUUAUCUAUAACAAUUUCAGCUGUUCUCGUAAAAGUAUUUAUUAAUUUUAAGUACAUCGAUCUCAUUUUUCUACCUAAAGUAUUUUGGACUCAAACCAAAUAUCAGAUAUUCAGAUGUUUUUCUUAUAAAGAUAAGGCAAAAUUAAUUAUGCCUAAAAUAUUUUUAUUGAUAUAUUGAACGGUAUUAUCAAUGUUGUCAAUCUAUAGAUAUGAACUUAGUAUCUACCUUUUUAAUUCUAGUAGUUUGAAGUCCGCAAAUGAUAUUGUGAGACAUAAAUGUUUAGGUAAUAAGUGAUAAUAGGAUUAAUUUAUAUUAGUGGUAAGUUAUUGCUUCCAAAGUUUAUUUUAGCUUAAUGUCAUGGUCAUUACUUCAAGGGUAAAGAUUUUACUGAGUGCAAUGGAUGCCGAAUACCUAUAUGUAGGUAGGUGUCUAUAAGACGGCAUGUGAUAUGGAAUUUCGAAGUAUUUUGACCAAAAACGCUGCUAUUUUUAUUUCCUUAAGACUGCUUUUUAUGUAACGGUGAUACCGGCGCUCAAUGGCUAUGGGAAAAUUGAAUCGUGAUUAAACUGUGAUGUUUUGGACUAAUAAGGGUAGGUAACCUAGUAGUCCAGUUUUGGCAAUGAGAUGUGAUUUAGGACUUUAUAUUUAUUUAGCUGCACUUCUCCAAAGAAAUAAAGCGAUAUUUUUUGUCCCUUAACUUUUACAUACUUGUAGGUAUAUUGUAAGUUUAUGUAGAAUCAUAAUUUUAAGCUGUCUUCCGUGUCGUAUAAAAAAGUAUUUCAUGGUCUUUAUAAAUGUUAAAAAAAAUAUUGAUGUUGGCUGUUUUAAAAAAUUAAAUUUCGAUAUUAGGGAUAUAUGAUAUUUCCAUUAAUACAGGUACUUUUGACUAUUAUCAAAAUUAAUAUAUAUGUAUAUUCGAUGUGAUAUUAAAAUGAAUGAUGGUUGUGUCCAUUUUAGGCCUAAUAUAUUAUGAGGCAUUAAUUGUGAAGAAAUCGUUGGACCUAAACUCUAUUUAAAGUAGUACUGUAGUAAACCUAGGAUAUAGCCCUGACUUGGCCCAAUUUUUAGGGGUACAACAGGCAUUUUACUGUAUUUUAUCUUUUUAACCAAGACAGUAUUUGUGUGUGUGUAGUAUUAAGUUAAGCUCUGCGAUUUUACUGAGCUUCUACUGAUCGUGAUUUUUCUAGUUUAUACUUAAUUCAUAAUAGUUUUACUACUUACACUUGUUCAUUUUGCACAAUAUCUAUUUUUACCAAGACGGUGUUUUUUUUUGUGUAGCUCGAAUUUGAAUCCUGUUAAGUUCUCGGUUGCCAAAUUAAUAUAAAUAUAUUUAAAUGAUAUGAUGAUUCCUAGUCAAUAGUUAAAAAACAUAUGCAGGAAAUAUGAACUUAUCAAAAAUGUAUGUAAUACGUAGAUAUUUAUAGAAUUCAGAGAUUUCUGUGUGUCAAUGUUUAAAUGAAUGUCUUCAAAAUAAAACUUAGCUGAAUAAAUCUCAUUUUUGUUUUUUUAUUACCUACUUCACUUUUUUAUACUGGGGGUCUAUCACCACCUCUUAAUGUAAGACCGUUGUAGAAAAAACACAGUCGAUGUUGAUAGGCCCCUUGUUCUUGUAAUUUGGCAGCAUUUUUACAGUUGAACUUUUUUCAGACUUGGACUACAAAUUUAUACCUUCCGGACGGGGGAAGAACUCUCUUCUUCUCCUAGAAGGCAACACGUUUAGCCAAGCUAAGAAAGAUAUAAGAUAUUGGAACUGCUCCAAAAGGACCUCAAUGGGAUGCAAGGCCAAAGUCCAUUUUAACAACAGUUUUUCUAUCAUAUAUUAUGAUAAAACACAUAACCAUAGUCCUCCGAGAUAUUAUAGGCAACUGGAUGGGAGUUAUAUUAAAAUAGGUUAAGUUGCAAGGGCGUCGCAUCACCGCGUAGAUCAAAACUUGGAGUUGUAGAACUGUGGCAGCGCGACACACUGUACCUAUAGAGCGUCGUAAUUGUUCCUCAACUUCAAUAGUCUUUCUUUAAGAGGCGGUUGUAAACCCCUUGGUUAAAGGUUUUAUGAUAUGCAGCUGAAUACGAAACUUUUAAACCCAUGUUGGUAUUAAAAUAUUAGAACAAAUAUAGUACUUAUUUAUAUUAAGGUAAUUUAAAAUAGCUGUUAAUAAUAAACUUUCUUCUACGAGUAGUUUAUUUCUUAGUUCUAAGAUCCUUUAAAUUUUAAUUAAAUACUGUAUUUAUAUAAUUAUUGUACUUAAUUAGAUUUAGGUAAUGUUUAGACUAGUCAAUAAAUAUGAUCGUCGGUAAUUUAGGUCGUAAACGCUUACGCUUUUCCCCUUUUUAUUUUAUUUUUGUUGCAACCUUUUUUCUUUAGUUACAGUAAUCUCACUGUCUACGGGUAAAAAUUUGCUCAUUGUCAAUGGGUAUACUUUUAAAGAAGAAUACCAUGUAAACGGUGUGACAAAAUGGAUAUGUAACGAGCCAAGUAACGGGAAGUGUGAAGUUUGUCUCUUCGCCAAUAAAAAGUACCACGUUCUACUCAUGGAAAACGUCCAUACCCAUGAGCCUAUAUUGUGCCGUAUAUUUCAAGACAGGAUUCUAAUCGAAAGGCAAUGAAACUUUGGAAGAGGAAGAAGAAGAAGAAGAACAGGAGUACACAACAGUAACAGAAUACGUAGGAGAGGAGCCAGAACCGGCAGAAGAUGUGGCUCUUUUCGUAGAAUCUCGCAGAGGAAAAACCGUCCUUCAAUACAACGGACACAGAUAUCGCAAAGCAUAUAAAUCUAAGAAUGGGGUCCGAUGGAACUGUUCCUUGAACAAGAACUGCUCAGCAUUCCUGUUCUUGAAUGAUAAUGAUGAGAUUCUUAUGUCCAAUGAGGACCAUGAUCACCCACAGUCGGCAAGGCUGGAAAACGUUGACACGGACCAGACAGACACAGCUGUAGUGAUCACAUCUCGCAAGGGUAAAGAGAUGCUUUUAUUCCGAAAGUACACUUACCGCAAGCAGUACGUCAAAGGGAACAAGUCCCGUUGGAUCUGUUCCACUCUCAAGAACUGCCGCGGCUGCGUCUUCACUGACAGCAAUAACUUCAUCAUCUCUGCCUUUGAGGGCCACUGCCAUGAUCCCCCGAAGUAUUACCUCAAGCCCGACCACGUACUCAGUGCUCUGAGAGAACCCUUGAUCAUUGAGACCGAUUAAAUAAGUUUAUAGGUCGAAAUUUAAUCAUACGUUAGACUAUAUACCCGUAUUGUAAUCGUAAUUAUUAUGUACCCUUUGAUCAACUAAUAAAUUAAAAAUUUGGUGAAUGUAUGUUUUUGUUGAAAUUAUUUUGCCUACGCUUUUUGUUGCAUUUGGGGACAUUUUUUACCUACCCUAGCUCAUGAGACAUGUUUGUAACUUUCAGCUUACGCAAUGAUAUCGAAACGUGGUCGACCCUUGAUACUAUACAAAAAUUAUACUUAUUCCCGGUUCCCGUAUCCUCUUAAGAAUGGUUGGCGCUGGUAUUGUUCCAAGGUGAAAAAUUGCAGGGCUUAUAUACUGACCUCAGUCGACGAUGUUAUCAUUUCAGCUACGGGGUACCAUAAUCACUUGCCGUUGCGGUGAUAAAAAGCAUAACAUGGAUUCUCAUAAAAAAGGAAUCUUAUAUUUGCAAUCAAAUAAGGCAAUUGUUAUCCUGCCAAAAAAAUAGAUUCAAUACCUAAGCGACUUGCAAUUACCUACUGAAUGUUAAAUCAGGACUUCAAUAAAGGUGCGCAAUGAAAAAUAGGUAUAUUCGUUUCAAAUGAGUUGAUAACUGCCUUAACGAAAUUUUGAGCUGAAAACUAUUAUUAAUAUAUAAAAAAUAAGUUCAAAUUUAGUCGUUGUUGUCGAAAUGGAUAUUUUGUCACUGGCUCUUCAAUUUCGAUGAGUACAGAGCGAAGAUGUUGCGUGAUUAUCUUCUCAUUUGAAACGCAUAUUUUAAUGACGUCAUCGAAACUACUGUACCUCAAAAUUGAAAACACAAAAUCCGAAAAAACGUGCUUUUUAAAUUGUAUUAGCUAAGUGCCUUUUAACUUCCUACCUACGUAUUAUAUUUACUGUGUUAUGUCUUAUUAUUGUUAAAUUAUGUAAUAUUUUAUGAUAAAACUAAUUUAAUUCUAUAAUUAUGUGCGCUGAAUAAUUAGUGCCUAGCUAACGGUGAAUAAGUAGUCAGUACUUAAUUAAAAUUUAUGUAGCUAAUGUAACUUCUUACCAAGAACAGUAUGUUAUUUAUUGUAUUAAAAAAUAGUGCCUUUGUAAGGAAAUUCACUCAUUUAAAUAAAUGUGCUUUUAAAUUGACUGAUAUGUUUAAUUUAUCUCAAAAAUUGGACCCGAUCCAUGAAGUAUUUUUUUACAGACUUAAAAAAGACGAGGUUCUCAAUUAGGGCACUUUUUUAAUCUCUUACAUUCACCUACAUAACCAAAACCGACCUACAUAUAGUUAAAGCAACAUUUAGCACUAAUUAUCGCAAAAUGCCCUUGCUUAUCGGAUGGUACUUGAUUCGAAGUACGUGAUUCAGUAGUAGGAAUACAUUGCAUUACCUCAUCAAGUAGAUUUAGAUGUUGUGUUCAGCUUAUGUCAGAACUUAAGGAGCCCUAUGUUUUAAGCACGCAGCCAAGGGCUAUCCAAAACUUAACGAAAAACAUACAUCCCGAUUUUAGUCACAGUUAAAUGUGUAAUAAACUUUGAUUUGAUUGAUAUUUUAUCUUUUCAUACAUUUGAUAUGGUCAAGGUGAAUAACUAAGGUAUAUAGUGUUCGCAAUUGUUUGUACUUAUUAGUUUACGAUAUCUACAGUGCAUAUAAUACUAAAAAAGUACUUUUUAUUUAUAGACCUUAUGUUAGUGUCUUUUCAACAUUUUGGUGAUGUGAAAUUUUAAACAAUAGACUUAUCAGAAAAAGUUCUGGGUAAACAAGUGAAAAUAAUAUCAGAUCGUAGAAAGGAAAUGACAAAUAAAGGUAUAUUCAUAAACACGCGAGGGAACUCAAAACUAUUUAUAUAUCAGAAUCAUACGUUCCGGUUCAUGUACAAGAAGGCGUAUGGGAGUCAGCUCUGGUAUUGCUGGUACUUCUUCAGCAGAUGUUGUCCUGCGAAGUUGCGGAUCAAUAACAACGGGAAGGUGACGGAGAGCAUCGGACGGCAUAACCACGACCCCCCCACGUGUUGGAUGACUCCGGACGGCAAGUCCUACAGCCUUCCCCCUCUCCCAGACAAACCCAACACGCCAAACAAUGUAUAAACAAUAAAAGUAUUUCGAAACAAUGUGUUUCACUGCCUUUAUUUUGUUGUGAAAUGAACAAACUGCCUCUAUUUCAAACAACAUGAGAUUUUUAUUUGUAUUCUAUGGAAUGUUAAGUUUAUGUCAAAGGUUUAGUUGUAAAUUAGGUUAAGUAUUAUCUACGUAUGUUAAUGAGUUUCCUAGGCUAUGUACAAACUUUGAGUUUAUUGUAAUGCAACAUAUUCUGUUAGAGUUUUAAAUAUUUAUCUUAAGAUUAUUAUUUGUACCUACAUUUUAUUUUUUAAGUGUAUUUGGCGUGUUAUUUUUUGAUAGGCGUCAUUUGGACAUUGGUUUAGAGUGAUAGGACCGCUUUUUCGUAAAAUAAUGGGUCCACGCCUUCGAGUAAAGCAAGUAUCCACCUGACCUCCACAAUCCACACAGCCAAGAUACAUAAUUCCUAGCAAGAUUGUUUUUGCCAACAAACUUCAAGAAGAUAAAAAAGACAAAUCGGUAAUCGCUCUCUUCGAUACCAUCGCCGUACAAGAAUGACCCUUAUCAAAAGAUAGCAUGUACGCAUUAAUAUAUCAGAACUUGUGGCUGAAUAUAACGUUUCAACAUUAGGUAAUUCUUACAUUUGUUGUUGUCAAGACCAUCAUAAAAAACCGUGAUAACAACAGAUUUAAGCACGUUGACACUUCUAUUGGCAACACCGAUUGUAAUGUUCCAUUUAUCGUGCAUUUUCAGUGAAAAGGCGGAGUUAAUUAUAUAGAAUUUGUUUUAUUCGCACGUAUUUUAGUAUUGUUUGUCCUUCAUAACAUUCUCGUUUCCAUUAUUUCGCUUUUAUUGGUUUGAUUCAUAACAAAUCAAGGUAAAGCGAAGUCAUUUGUGUUGUCCAAACGUAGUGUUAAAAAAAAAACCAGUCGUUUUAGAUGUUUAUCGAGAAUUUGUAUUACCGUGUAAAAACAAAUGUUAAUAAAUUUAUUAAAAGUAAUGAAGUUUUCGUUGCAAGUAAUUUAAUUUGUUAAGCUUUUGUGAAUCAUAUUAAUGCUAAAUUAUAAACCAAUAUUUUUUUUUAUUUGAUAUCGACUACGAAAAGCCAAUGCCUCAUCGAGAAAAAUAACAUAACUUUCCCAGAUUUCUCUUGCCAUCGUUCCUUUGCAUGUGUCACUGUUGACUCAUUACGUAAUAUUCGUUGACUUGGUUCUGCAAAAAAGUGUAAAUUUAUCUAUUAAUGAGAUCUCCAGCUCAUCCACAUGAUAGAUUUUCUUUCUGCUAGUAGUAAUUUUAAUAUUGCCCAGCGAGCCUGUCACCACCUCUUAAAGUAGGUAUUAUUGCAGUUGUGGAAUCGUGACAGAGCACUGCACAGCGUAGAAGUCUUAUACAACAGCAAUAAUAUUUUUUAUUUAAGGAGGAGGUAGUAAGCCUCUGAUAUCUUCUUGAGUUCAACUGGCAUUAAUCCGCAGGCUAAUGGUGUAGAUACAGAUAAAUUCCCCUAACUUUCUGCUUAGUUGGAAAAUCAUCUGAACCGUUCCAAAAGAGCAUUAGGUACCACAACAUUGAUAUGUAAAAACCCAAGAUACAAUGUCAGUGCCUAAAUAAAAGCUGAUUGAAAUAUCCACACAGUAAAAUUGCGUGGCCUUUAUACAGUCUCGCGACGUAAUAACAACUUAAUCUCAUUGUACCGCAAGGUGGAAGUUCCAAAAAAUACAUGAUAGGCAAUAAAAGACUGUUUCGAUGCAUUAAACAUCUGGGGUUCAUAUAUAUCAACCACAUCCUCUUUUAGAACGCCUAGAAUUUAGAAAUAUAAGUUCGCCGGUAGAUUUUUCAACCAGACGUCAUUGCUUCAAAAUGACAGAGAUUGUGUAUUUAAAUGUUACACUAUUAGUGUAAAAACAAAAGUUCCGUUUUGUAAUAUAGUUAUUGUGCCUUUCAAGAGUUUUAUGUAAACCAAAUAUAAAUAUAUUGUAUGUGUA
Long non-coding RNA from Trichoplusia ni (cabbage looper), 8989 nucleotides. RefSeq lists it as uncharacterized. NCBI's taxonomy places the organism in Eukaryota, Metazoa, Arthropoda, Insecta, Lepidoptera, Noctuidae. The transcript is spliced from 4 exons. The record is from RefSeq and is a predicted model, not a curated record.